Molecule: long non-coding RNA, 3014 nt
Organism: Lynx canadensis (Canada lynx)
Lineage: Eukaryota; Metazoa; Chordata; Mammalia; Carnivora; Felidae
Exons: 3
Source: RefSeq, a predicted model, not a curated record
UCGCCUCUCCCCUGCCCCCCACCCCAUCAACCCUCAGUUUGUUCUGUUCCGUGUAGUGCUAUGCUAAGUUACAGUUUAAAUAAAUUUAAAUUAUUAGCGUCAAUUUUACGGUUCAUCCUUACGUUAUGCAAUGUCAGUUAGCUUCUAACUCACAUGGGGGACUGCUGAAAUUACACAACUCCUAUUUUGUAGUACAUACAUGUAUCGUUUGUCUUGCCACAACAGCAAGAAUGAUGCAUAAAACUCAUUUUUCCUGUCUCUUCUUGACAGAUGCACAUUCUGCCAAUACCGUACCUUACUGAUGAGUAAGGAGGCAGUGAAAAGAAGAGAGGUACGAGGGGCUGACCUUUCCUUCUAUCUCAUCACUCCAGCCUAAGUGGGCGAGUGACAGGCAAGUAACACGAGUGAAAAAGGUGGAGAUGGGGUUCCUCAGUCCUUUCUUUUGCUGUGUUCGAAGAAAGUUCUGGUUUGAAUGGGAAGCAGGUCCUCCUGAGGCUGUCAGUACCCGCCCCCCGGGGUACUCGGUUGCAGAUAUCACGCACCUGUAGUUGACAUUGAGCCUUGCUGCCCUUAGGCUUGUUGUGGAUCUACCAGAAUUCUGUCUUCCUGGGGCACGGCCAAUACUCUGUGUGAGUGGGGUGCGGGGGACCGUGGACACGUGUCCUGCCCAUCCCGCUCACUCCCGGACUCCAUUGCCCCAUAGGACUUCGCUUACAAAAUGAAGAUUAAGAUUUUCAGGACCCUGAUGGCAGAGUAUUUCCCUUCUCAGUGUGGGGUGCCAUGUGACUGCAUGCUCGCAAAGCUGGCCAUGCUCACCACCCCAUGCCAGUCACGGUGUUCAGAAAAAGUUGAUUUAAAUUAAGAAAUGUGUGCAGAAGGACUAUAAAUUGGUAGCAUCUCUCUAGGACAGCUGGAGCACGGGCAGAGAGCUGAGUUGGUGCUAGAGAGUGACAAUAAAUUCAGGGUUGGGAUUGCUUGGGGAGCUGGGUCCCACUCCUGUCUACGUCAUUUACUAGCUAAACUGUUAACAUUCCUCAAUGUCAAUGUCCUCACUUGGACUAUGGGGACGGUAACGCAUGGCUUCUUAAGAUGAUUAAAACUAGGUAACGUAUGUAAAUAUUUAGCCCACGGUUGGUUACUGUAUUUGGUAUAUACAGUCAUGCCUCCAACUAUAAGGGACGUAACAUGAUAGCUGUACCAGAUCCACUUCUGAUGCUUGUGUGCAUUUUCCUCCUCUGAGUAUUUCCACAGUGAAAUGCCAAGCCACAAAAGCUGUUAUCGACCCAAGACACAGAGGCCAGAAUGGGCCUUGGAUUCAUUAUCAGGAUGAGGUGGACAGGUGUCAUAUGACUCACUUCCAAAUGGACCUGAGCCACUUGGAAGACUACACUAAGAGUCUGCAGCCAGGAGACAGGAUGCAAAGAGCACUUAGCAUUUCGGAAACCGUUUGCUGUUUCCUAAGGAGAGGCUCCCUUCCUAGUCCCAACCUAGGAUGCAGAGACAAGCAUCGUUUUAAAAAGAAUUUGGCAUCGAUUGAAAAAUUUGGAAUCAAUUGAAAAAGAAGACAUAGAAGACUAACUAAUGGAGGUGAAAAUAUCCAUUUUAUUACUAGGGAGGCUUUUAUCUCUUCAGGGGUGGGAGAAAGCUUCUUAACAUUCCACUAUUGAAUUAAACCAAUUGCUUAGCCAAUCACAGGCAGAAUACUGCAGGCCUCCCCAAUGCGGCAAAGAGAGCCCUGAGAUUACUACCACAGCUGACCAAACUGAAUGGGACCCUGUGUGUUCCAAAGCUGAGCAUGGUCCAUUUCUUCUCCCAGACUUACCCAUCAGAUAACUGGGAGGCCCAGAUUGUGACUGCCAUGGAGGUUCCAGGGCAGUUGAGGGUCCCCACUAACACCAUAGAUGCAGUUGGAAGGCCACCUUCCACAACUAACAGGGCUUGAGACCCCUAGAUAGGUGUUUUCCUAUGCAUCACCUCAUUGUCACUGGAGCCUUAAGAGACAGGAGUUAUUUAUGGACAUUUAAUGAAGCAGAUUCAGAGAACUUAGCUGGUGGUUCAGGAUGAUAGGUUUGAAUACAGACCCCAGUGUCCCAUCUGAUGAACCAUGCUGCCUUGUGACUCACUGAUCUACAGAUUAUAGGACAGGUUAUAGUUAUAUUGGAGUUGAAGUAUCAAGCCAUUGUGGAAUGAAGAAGCUUAGAGAGAGGAGGUGGGACAGUCUAGGAACAAGGAAUAAAGGGUCUGGGACUCAAGUCUUAUCCAAUGCGAUAAACAUGUGCUGAAUAUGUGCCACUUUCUGUAUCAACCUCCCGAGGCCAAACUCCCUCGUCCUCACAGGUGCCCUGGGUUUGGCUCCCCACCACCCAGUGAAGUAUGUGUGGGACACAACCCAAAUCAAAGCCAACAAGUCACUGCCCAAACAUCCAGGGCCGAGGGAAAAAGAGCAACAUGUUCUCACCACACGCCACUUCAGAACCAGAACCUUAGGAAAUUCUGCUGCGUCGGGAGGCGCCUUGGGCACCCGAUGCGCGGACGACAGAUGUGUGUUCCUACUUCCAAGAAGCUUCAACCAUCCAGAGAGGGAGACGAAGUCAGCGCAGAAGCUUUGCUAGGGCAGGAGCCAGUCCAGACGGAGAGCUAACCCUGUCCCCUCCUUCAGGGCUCUGUGACCAGAGGCAAGUUAUUUAACCUUGGUGACCCACGGCCUUCUAUCUCAGGAAUGGGAAGAUGCCAUUUUCACAGGGUUGUUGUAAGGAUUCAAUGAGAUUUCCCCAAACCUCAGGUAUUGGCAUCUCCCCUUUAAAAUGUUUGCUUCAUCUCCCCGCAACGUGGGCAAUCAGUUCAUUCACAUUGCCACCCACUUUCGCUUCCUCCUAAGUGGCAAUAUCUGUGAAAUCUCGGGUUUGGUGUGUGAGUCCUAUUUUUUGGUUUCCUAAUGGACACUAAAGCAAAUGCACAUGGCCACAGGCACAUGAAAAGAUGCUCUACGUCGCUCCUCAUCAGGGAAAUACAAA